UGCAUGUGUAUGAAUGUGUGUGUGUGUGUGUGUGUGCGCGCGCACGUACACGCAUAAGCCUACAAUCAC
Molecule: microRNA precursor, 69 nt
Filed under: Ovis aries (sheep)
Lineage: Eukaryota; Metazoa; Chordata; Mammalia; Artiodactyla; Bovidae
Description: miRNA (ENSOARG00000024994.1)
Source: RNAcentral